AGUGAACGCUGGCGGUAGGCCUAACACAUGCAAGUCGAACGGCAGCACAGUAAGAGCUUGCUCUUACGGGUGGCGAGUGGCGGACGGGUGAGGAAUACAUCGGAAUCUACUUUUUCGUGGGGGAUAACGUAGGGAAACUUACGCUAAUACCGCAUACGACCUACGGGUGAAAGCAGGGGAUCUUCGGACCUUGCGCGAUUGAAUGAGCCGAUGUCGGAUUAGCUAGUUGGCGGGGUAAAGGCCCACCAAGGCGACGAUCCGUAGCUGGUCUGAGAGGAUGAUCAGCCACACUGGAACUGAGACACGGUCCAGACUCCUACGGGAGGCAGCAGUGGGGAACAUUGGACAAUGGGCGCAAGCCUGAUCCAGCCAUACCGCGUGGGUGAAGAAGGCCUUCGGGUUGUAAAGCCCUUUUGUUGGGAAAGAAAAGCAGCAGGUUAAUACCCCGCUGUUCUGACGGUACCCAAAGAAUAAGCACCGGCUAACUUCGCG
Molecule: ribosomal RNA, 492 nt
Filed under: uncultured bacterium
Lineage: Bacteria
Description: partial 16S ribosomal RNA
Rfam family: Bacterial small subunit ribosomal RNA
Source: RNAcentral